Molecule: ribosomal RNA, 425 nt
Filed under: uncultured bacterium
Lineage: Bacteria
Description: bacterial SSU rRNA
Rfam family: Bacterial small subunit ribosomal RNA
Source: RNAcentral
UCGAGAAUCUUCGGCAAUGGGCGAAAGCCUGACCGAGCGAUGCCGCGUGUGGGAUGAAGGCCUUCGGGUUGUAAACCACUGUCGUAGGGGAUUAAUGGUAGGUGGGUUCUCCCAUCUAUUUGAACGAUCCUAGGAGGAAGGACGGGCUAAGUUCGUGCCAGCAGCCGCGGUAAGACGAACCGUCCAAACGUUAUUCGGAAUCACUGGGCUUACAGAGUUCGUAGGCGGUCCGGUAAGUUAGGUGUGAAAUCCCUCGGCUCAACCGAGGAACUGCGCUUGAUACUGCCGGACUCGAGGGGGAUAGAGGAAAGUGGAACUGAUGGUGGAGCGGUGAAAUGCGUUGAUAUCAUCAGGAACACCGGUGGCGAAGGCGGCUUUCUGGGUCCUUUCUGACGCUGAGGAACGAAAGCUAGGGUAGCGAACGG